Molecule: ribosomal RNA, 230 nt
Filed under: uncultured bacterium
Lineage: Bacteria
Description: partial 16S ribosomal RNA
Rfam family: Bacterial small subunit ribosomal RNA
Source: RNAcentral
UAACACGUAGGUAACCUGCCCAUGUGUCCGGGAUAACUGCUGGAAACGGUAGCUAAAACCGGAUAGGUAUACAGAGCGCAUGCUCAGUAUAUUAAAGCGCCCAUCAAGGCGUGAACAUGGAUGGACCUGCGGCGCAUUAGCUAGUUGGUGAGGUAACGGCCCACCAAGGCGAUGAUGCGUAGCCGGCCUGGGAGGGUAAACGGCCACAUUGGGACUGAGACACGGCCCAA